GUGUGGUGUUGUGGGGGUGGUGGUGGUGGCUGUGAAGAAGAAGAAGAAGCCUAGCAGCUUCUACUUAUAGUCAACACCCCAAUAGUAGCAUACACUAUUCACUUCAGGCAGUUCGAAAUCUGAUAUCUUUCGCCGGAGCUCUCUGAAAAUCCGUUUCAGUUCAAAUUUGACAGUUAUUUUCGGUUUUGCUUAACUUGACGAGAAAAUUUUAAUCUUUCAGUUUCGACCCCAUUUGGUCACCGAAAGCUGUACCGAACUGUAAUCUUUAUCAGAUAACUGUCGGAUUUUAUUUUCCACCUUCUGGGUGUCAGAAUGAUAUGAAACUUUAAAUCUAGCCUCAUAAAAAUAAUUCUGACUUAUCCUCCAGUUUUCAGAAUUUUCUGACACUGUGCAUUUUCUAUUAAAAUAACAGCCUCGAUUCACACAGAAAAUUCAAAAUCUUCUGUUCUCGCUCCGAUUUCCGCACGAGCCGUUCCCGACUUAUAUUUUACUUCUAUAAGUCCAAUAAAAAUAGUAUCUCACACUAUUUUUAUUUAUACCCUUAUUUUAAAAUCCGGUAUG
This 561-nucleotide long non-coding RNA is filed under the name Ananas comosus (pineapple). RNAcentral describes it as "long non-coding RNA (ACOM_LNC039498)". The record is from RNAcentral. Lineage: Eukaryota; Viridiplantae; Streptophyta; Magnoliopsida; Poales; Bromeliaceae.